Molecule: long non-coding RNA, 1078 nt
Filed under: Homo sapiens (human)
Lineage: Eukaryota; Metazoa; Chordata; Mammalia; Primates; Hominidae
Description: long non-coding RNA NONHSAT189437.1
Source: RNAcentral
UGAAGGGCUUUUGUGACUUUGGUUCCCUGUGAGCAAGAUGAUCUGCAAGUGGCGACAUGAACUGAUUACCAAUCACUGACUUCAGGAGGAAGCAAUAGUUCUGGAGGCUGGGAAGUCCAAGAUCAAGGCAGGCGCCAGCAGACUCUGGGUCUGGAGGAUAGAAAAGUAUAGAGGAAAAAGGAAGUUCCACCUCCAUGAUCCUUUAGUCCUCUAGCUGUUCUCCCCAGAGAAAGCAACUCUAAGUUUCUUGCAGAAAGGACCUGGAUACACUAGUAGAGAUGUGGUCUAUGUUGCCCAGGGUGGACUCGAACUCCUGGACUCAAGUGACCCUCCUGCCUCAGUCUCCCAAGUAGCUGGGACUGCAGACAAGGGAAUGAGAAGCAGCAAGUUAAAUGCAGAACAGAAAUGAAGCUGUUAGACCAAAUUUUCAGCUUCUCACAUGGGCACAGAUUACCAAAAGUGGGACUGCUGGCACAAAGCAUAUGUGUGUAUUCAUCGUGACUGUUACUACCAGAUUCUUUUCCAAGAAAGUUCUAGGCACUAACUUUUUUUUUAAGACUGCAUGAAGUAUAUCUUUUUCUAAUAAUACAGUAUUUCAUGGGGCACCUCUAUCUGUGAAUACGAUUUUCUCACUUGUUAGAGCCUCUGUCACAUAAUACACUUGCCACAGAAUACUGCCACAGAGAAGAGCAAAGGAAGACAGCUGGCUAGCCAAAUGUCCCCACAAUGGAAUAGUGCCUGAAAGACCCAUGGGGGAGCUGUCCAUCAGAGCCACACUCCCCACCAGCUCCUUGGAAGGCACCCCCAAAAGCAGGAGUGGAGAGUCCAAAUGUCAUCUGCCCUCGAACACCACAUGAAAUGGGGAGUACCCUUCACUCAGAGAGCAGCCCACCCCUCUUCCUCCUUUCAGGGAGGGUUACCACAGUGGAAGUGAAGCUCCUCAACAAGCCUUCAGCUCUGUGAUGAAAUUCCCUGGUCCUCCACACCUAUCCAUCCCUGACAGAGUAUGAUCAGUUUGCUUCUAUUUCUAGUAGAAUAUAUUUCACAGCAUAAUAGUUCAAAGAAACCUUACAACCCU